RNAcentral lists this ribosomal RNA (175 nucleotides) under Vibrio cholerae. RNAcentral describes it as "partial 16S ribosomal RNA". It matches the Rfam family "Bacterial small subunit ribosomal RNA", at positions 1 to 168 of the family's 1533-position model. Lineage: Bacteria; Pseudomonadati; Pseudomonadota; Gammaproteobacteria; Vibrionales; Vibrionaceae. The record is from RNAcentral.
UUAAUUGAAGAGUUUGAUCAUGGCUCAGAUUGAACGCUGGCGGCAGGCCUAACACAUGCAAGUCGAGCGGCAGCACAGAGGAACUUGUUCCUUGGGUGGCGAGCGGCGGACGGGUGAGUAAUGCCUGGGAAAUUGCCCGGUAGAGGGGGAUAACCAUUGGAAACGAUGGCUAAUA